GACGAACGCUGGCGGCAUGCCUAAUACAUGCAAGUCGACCUUAGUUGCUAACGGGUGAGUAACACGUGGGUAAGCUACCCAUCAGAAGGGGAUAACACUAUGAAACAGGUGCUAAUACCGGAUACUGAUGGAUGGACGCGCGGGGCAUUAGCUAGUUGGUGAGGUAACGGCUCACCAAGGCAACGAUGCAUAGCGGGUCUGAGAGGAUGACCGGCCACAUUGGGACUGAGACACGGUCCAGACUCCUACGGGAGGCAGCAGUGGGGAAUAUUGCACAAUGGGCGAAAGCCUGAUGCAGCCAUGCCGCGUGUAUGAAGAAGGCCUUCGGGUUGUAAAGUACUUUCAGCGGGGAGGCGUUACCUGCAGAAGAAGCACCGGCUAACUCCGUGCCAGCAGCCGCGGUAAUUC
RNAcentral lists this ribosomal RNA (408 nucleotides) under uncultured bacterium. RNAcentral describes it as "partial 16S ribosomal RNA". It matches the Rfam family "Bacterial small subunit ribosomal RNA", at positions 28 to 526 of the family's 1533-position model. The record is from RNAcentral.